Molecule: transfer RNA, 57 nt
Filed under: Bos taurus (domestic cattle)
Lineage: Eukaryota; Metazoa; Chordata; Mammalia; Artiodactyla; Bovidae
Also listed under: 5 other names
Source: Rfam by way of RNAcentral
UGUCUCAGACAGUAGAGUGUCUGCCUGCAAUGCAGGAGACCCGGGUUCAAUCCCUGG